GGGGAACGUUAACGGCGUCGAGCGGCGGACGGGUGAGUAAUGCCUGGGAAAUUGCCCUGAUGUGGGGGAUAACCAUUGGAAACGAUGGCUAAUACCGCAUAAUAGCUUCGGCUCAAAGAGGGGGACCUUCGGGCCUCUCGCGUCAGGAUAUGCCCAGGUGGGAUUAGCUAGUUGGUGAGGUAAUGGCUCACCAAGGCGACGAUCCCUAGCUGGUCUGAGAGGAUGAUCAGCCACACUGGAACUGAGACACGGUCCAGACUCCUACGGGAGGCAGCAGUGGGGAAUAUUGCACAAUGGGCGCAAGCCUGAUGCAGCCAUGCCGCGUGUAUGAAGAAGGCCUUCGGGUUGUAAAGUACUUUCAGCAGUGAGGAAGGUGGUGUCGUUAAUAGCGGCAUCAUUUGACGUUAGCUGCAGAAGAAGCACCGGCUAACUCCGUGCCAGCAGCCGCGGUAAUACGGAGGGUGCGAGCGUUAAUCGGAAUUACUGGGCGUAAAGCGCAUGCAGGUGGUUUGUUAAGUCAGAUGUGAAAGCCCGGGGCUCAACCUCGGAAUUGCAUUUGAAACUGGCAGACUAGAGUACUGUAGAGGGGGGUAGAAUUUCAGGUGUAGCGGUGAAAUGCGUAGAGAUCUGAAGGAAUACCGGUGGCGAA
This 649-nucleotide ribosomal RNA is filed under the name Vibrio maritimus. Its description in RNAcentral is "bacterial SSU rRNA". It matches the Rfam family "Bacterial small subunit ribosomal RNA", at positions 68 to 719 of the family's 1533-position model. The record is from RNAcentral. Lineage: Bacteria; Pseudomonadati; Pseudomonadota; Gammaproteobacteria; Vibrionales; Vibrionaceae.